RNAcentral lists this ribosomal RNA (274 nucleotides) under uncultured bacterium. Its description in RNAcentral is "partial 16S ribosomal RNA". It matches the Rfam family "Bacterial small subunit ribosomal RNA", at positions 523 to 796 of the family's 1533-position model. The record is from RNAcentral.
AUACAGAGGGUGCGAGCGUUAAUCGGAAUUACUGGGCGUAAAGCGCGCGUAGGCGGCUUAUUAAGUCAGAUGUGAAAUCCCCGGGCUCAACCUGGGAACUGCAUCUGAUACUGGUAAGCUGGAGUUUUGGAGAGGGAAGUAGAAUUUCAGGUGUAGCGGUGAAAUGCAUAGAGAUCUGAAGGAAUACCAGUGGCGAAGGCGACUUCCUGGCCAAAAACUGACGCUGAGGUGCGAAAGCGUGGGUAGCAAACGGGAUUAGAAACCCCAGUAGUCC